UUCGGUUACAUCGGUGACAGGUGGUGCAUGGUUGUCGUCAGCUCGUGUCGUGAGAUGUUGGGUUAAGUCCCGCAACGAGCGCAACCCCUAUUGUUAGUUGCCAUCAUUCAGUUGGGCACUCUAGCGAGACUGCCGGUAAUAAACCGGAGGAAGGUGGGGAUGACGUCAAAUCAUCAUGCCCCUUAUGACCUGGGCUACACACGUGCUACAAUGGUUGGUACAACGAGUUGCGAGUCGGUGACGGCGAGCUAAUCUCUUAAAGCCAAUCUCAGUUCGGAUUGUAGGCUGCAACUCGCCUACAUGAAGUCGGAAUCGCUAGUAAUCGCGGAUCAGCACGCCGCGGUGAAUACGUUCCCGGGCCUU
This 363-nucleotide ribosomal RNA is filed under the name uncultured Streptococcus sp. RNAcentral describes it as "bacterial SSU rRNA". It matches the Rfam family "Bacterial small subunit ribosomal RNA", at positions 1018 to 1382 of the family's 1533-position model. The record is from RNAcentral. Lineage: Bacteria; Bacillati; Bacillota; Bacilli; Lactobacillales; Streptococcaceae.